RNAcentral lists this transfer RNA (43 nucleotides) under Juniperus osteosperma. RNAcentral's name for it is "partial tRNA-Ser". Lineage: Eukaryota; Viridiplantae; Streptophyta; Pinopsida; Cupressales; Cupressaceae. The record is from RNAcentral.
CGGAUUAGCAAUCCACCGCUUUAGUCCGCUCAGCCAUCUCUCC